CUACGGGGUGCUCCAGUGGGGAAUAUUGCACAAUGGGGGAAACCCUGAUGCAGCAACGCCGCGUGAGUGAUGACGGCCUUCGGGUUGUAAAGCUCUGUCUUCAGGGACGAUAAUGACGGUACCUGAGGAGGAAGCCACGGCUAACUACGUGCCAGCAGCCGCGGUAAUACGUAGGUGGCGAGCGUUGUCCGGAUUUACUGGGCGUAAAGGGAGCGUAGGCGGACUUUUAAGUGAGAUGUGAAAUACCCGGGCUCAACCUGGGUGCUGCAUUUCAAACUGGAAGUCUAGAGUGCAGGAGAGGAGAAGGGAAUUCCUAGUGUAGCGGUGAAAUGCGUAGAGAUUAGGAAGAACACCAGUGGCGAAGGCGCUUCUCUGGACUGUAACUGACGCUGAGGCUCGAAAGCGUGGGGAGCAAACAGGAUUAGAUACCCCAGUAGUC
This 439-nucleotide ribosomal RNA is filed under the name uncultured bacterium. RNAcentral's name for it is "partial 16S ribosomal RNA". It matches the Rfam family "Bacterial small subunit ribosomal RNA", at positions 339 to 795 of the family's 1533-position model. The record is from RNAcentral.